This 384-nucleotide long non-coding RNA is filed under the name Nicotiana benthamiana. RNAcentral describes it as "long non-coding RNA (NBEN_LNC014130)". Lineage: Eukaryota; Viridiplantae; Streptophyta; Magnoliopsida; Solanales; Solanaceae. The record is from RNAcentral.
UGUAUUGCAAUCUCUUUACACAGAUCAUUUAUGUUGUAUCUUCCUUUGUUAAAUCUCAUCGAGUUCCUUUCACGCCAACUGCAGUAAAUCACCAUUGCAAAUAUUAUUGUAAUCAUUUCUCCCCUGCAAUCCUUCCUCUUUGCCAUAUUGUAUAUCCAUUGCAAUUCAUACAGCUAGCUUCCUAUCUGUCGUGCAUUGCCAGUCUAAAUCAAAUCUCUUUCCCAUAGUUUCUUGUACUUGGACAACCAAAGUAUAGAUGCUCAAAUAUUUCUACAUGUUGUUCGUAGAAAACACAGUCUGGCUGGACUUGAAUUCCAAACUUGGCAAGUCUAUCCACAGUUGAUAUCCUUUGAUGGAUAGUCAGCCAUAGAUGGAACUUGAAAC